CCUACGGGAGGCUGCAGUGGGGAAUAUUGGACAAUGGGGGGAACCCUGAUCCAGCCAUGCCGCGUGUGUGAAGAAGGCCCUCGGGUUGUAAAGCACUUUCAGUGAGGAAGAACGCCUGGUGGUUAAUACCCAUCAGGAAAGACAUCACUCACAGAAGAAGCACCGGCUAACUCCGUGCCAGCAGCCGCGGUAAUACGGAGGGUGCGAGCGUUAAUCGGAAUUACUGGGCGUAAAGCGCGCGUGGGUGGCUUGAUAAGCCGGUUGUGAAAGCCCCGGGCUCAACCUGGGAACGGCAUCCGGAACUGUCAAGCUAGAGUGCAGGAGAGGAAGGUAGAAUUCCCGGUGUAGCGGUGAAAUGCGUAGAGAUCGGGAGGAAUACCAGUGGCGAAGGCGGCCUUCUGGACUGACACUGACACUGAGGUGCGAAAGCGUGGGUAGCAAACAGGAUUAGAUACCCCAGUAGUC
RNAcentral lists this ribosomal RNA (465 nucleotides) under Vreelandella stevensii. RNAcentral's name for it is "partial 16S ribosomal RNA". It matches the Rfam family "Bacterial small subunit ribosomal RNA", at positions 338 to 795 of the family's 1533-position model. The record is from RNAcentral. Lineage: Bacteria; Pseudomonadati; Pseudomonadota; Gammaproteobacteria; Oceanospirillales; Halomonadaceae.